CGUGCCGGACGACCGCACGCGCUUCGAAUCAUCGGGGACGGCCCCA
Molecule: non-coding RNA, 46 nt
Organism: Burkholderia sp. MR1
Lineage: Bacteria; Pseudomonadati; Pseudomonadota; Betaproteobacteria; Burkholderiales; Burkholderiaceae
Source: Rfam